This 253-nucleotide ribosomal RNA is filed under the name uncultured bacterium. RNAcentral's name for it is "partial 16S ribosomal RNA". It matches the Rfam family "Bacterial small subunit ribosomal RNA", at positions 524 to 776 of the family's 1533-position model. The record is from RNAcentral.
UACGAAGGGGGCUAGCGUUGUUCGGAAUUACUGGGCGUAAAGGGCGCGUAGGCGGUGUGUCAAGUCAGGCGUGAAAGCCCCGGGCUCAACCUGGGAACAGCGCUUGAGACUGGCACGCUCGAGUACGGGAGAGGAUGGUGGAAUUCCCAGUGUAGAGGUGAAAUUCGUAGAUAUUGGGAAGAACACCGAUGGCGAAGGCAGCCAUCUGGACCGACACUGACGCUGAGGCGCGAAAGCGUGGGGAGCAAACAGG